This 77-nucleotide transfer RNA is filed under the name Clostridium sp. Its description in RNAcentral is "tRNA-Pro". It matches the Rfam family "tRNA". From Rfam's summary of the family: Transfer RNA (tRNA) molecules are approximately 80 nucleotides in length. Their secondary structure includes four short double-helical elements and three loops (D, anti-codon, and T loops). Further hydrogen bonds mediate the characteristic L-shaped molecular structure. tRNAs have two regions of fundamental functional importance: the anti-codon, which is responsible for specific mRNA codon recognition, and the 3' end, to which the tRNAs corresponding amino acid is attached (by aminoacyl-tRNA synthetases). tRNAs cope with the degeneracy of the genetic code in two manners: having more than one tRNA (with a specific anti-codon) for a particular amino acid; and 'wobble' base-pairing, i.e. permitting non-standard base-pairing at the 3rd anti-codon position. The record is from RNAcentral. RNAcentral also lists the same sequence under 24 other names. Lineage: Bacteria; Bacillati; Bacillota; Clostridia; Eubacteriales; Clostridiaceae.
CGGGAUGUGGCGCAGCUUGGUAGCGCACCUCGCUUGGGACGAGGGGGUCGCACGUUCAAAUCGUGUCAUCCCGACCA